This 145-nucleotide unclassified non-coding RNA is filed under the name uncultured Helotiales. Its description in RNAcentral is "sequence contains ITS2". The record is from RNAcentral. Lineage: Eukaryota; Fungi; Ascomycota; Leotiomycetes; Helotiales.
CAACCCUCAAGCCUAGCUUGGUAUUGGGUGUCACCAUUGUGGUGCUCCCUAAAAUUAGUGGCGGUGCCAUCUGGCCUCAAGCGUAGUAAUACUUCUCGCUUUGGAGGUUGGCGUGUGUGUCUGCCAGCAAUCACCAUUUUUCAAA